GUUGUCGAAUUUACUUCAAUUUAUGUGUGUUGGUGUGGAUUGGGGUGAAAUUUACUUCAAAUUCCAUUCUAAUCCACCUCAACACAUAUGGAUUGAUGUGAAUCCGACU
This is a microRNA precursor of Sorghum bicolor (sorghum), 109 nucleotides long. It matches the Rfam family "MIR5565 microRNA precursor family". The record is from Rfam. NCBI's taxonomy places the organism in Eukaryota, Viridiplantae, Streptophyta, Magnoliopsida, Poales, Poaceae.